RNAcentral lists this ribosomal RNA (253 nucleotides) under uncultured bacterium. Its description in RNAcentral is "partial 16S ribosomal RNA". It matches the Rfam family "Bacterial small subunit ribosomal RNA", at positions 524 to 776 of the family's 1533-position model. The record is from RNAcentral.
UACGGAGGGUGCAAGCGUUGUCCGGAUUUAUUGGGCGUAAAGAGCUCGUAGGCGGUUUGUCGCGUCUGCUGUGAAAUUUCGGGGCUCAACCCCGAACUUGCAGUGGGUACGGGCAGACUAGAGUGUGGUAGGGGAGACUGGAAUUCCUGGUGUAGCGGUGAAAUGCGCAGAUAUCAGGAGGAACACCGAUGGCGAAGGCAGGUCUCUGGGCCGCUACUGACGCUGAGAAGCGAAAGCAUGGGGAGCGAACAGG